GUGGGGAAUUUUGGACAAUGGGCGCAAGCCUGAUCCAGCAAUGCCGCGUGUGUGAAGAAGGCCUUCGGGUUGUAAAGCACUUUUGGCAGGAAAGAAAUAGUGCGUGCUAAUACCAUGCGCGAAUGACGGUACCUGCAGAAUAAGCACCGGCUAACUACGUGCCAGCAGCCGCGGUAAGACGUAGGGUGCAAGCGUUAAUCGGAAUUACUGGGCGUAAAGCGUGCGCAGGCGGUUUUGUAAGACAGGUGUGAAAUCCCCGGGCUCAACCUGGGAACUGAACUUGUGACUGCAAGGCUAGAGUGUGUCAGAGGGAGGUGGAAUUCCGCGUGUAGCAGUGAAAUGCGUAGAGAUGCGGAGGAACACCGAUGGCGAAGGCAGCCUCCUGGGAUAACACUGACGCUCAGGCACGAAAGCGUGGGGAGCAAACAGGAUUAGAAACCCCUGUAGUCC
RNAcentral lists this ribosomal RNA (450 nucleotides) under uncultured bacterium. RNAcentral's name for it is "partial 16S ribosomal RNA". It matches the Rfam family "Bacterial small subunit ribosomal RNA", at positions 354 to 796 of the family's 1533-position model. The record is from RNAcentral.